This 972-nucleotide long non-coding RNA is filed under the name Homo sapiens (human). RNAcentral describes it as "HSALNT0339027". Lineage: Eukaryota; Metazoa; Chordata; Mammalia; Primates; Hominidae. The record is from RNAcentral.
CUCUUCUCUGCUGCCGUCUGAGGUGCGCGUUUCACCUUCCGCCGUGAUUGUGAGGCCUCCCCAGCCACGUGGAACUGUGAGUCCAUUAAACCUCUUUCUUUUGUAAAUUGCCCCGUCUGAGGUAUGUCUUUAUGAGCAGCGUGAAAAUGGACUGACACGCAGACUCUCUGCAGAGUCCCGAGACGGCACGGAGGAUCACACGGGGAGGGGUCGAGUGUGCUAACUCAGGUCUCUCUUCCUCUUCUAAUAAAUCCACCCGUCCCGCUCCUGCGCUAACCCAUUAAUCCAUUAAUCUGUGAAUGGAUUCAUCUAUUCACGAGGGCACUGCCCUCCUGACCCGAUCACCUCUUAAAGGCCAACUCUCAAUCCUGCCACACUGGGAAUUAAGUUUCAACAUGAGUUUCGGAGGAGAUAAACAUUCAAAUCAUAGCCGAAAUCCAAAGAGAUUUGAGGAGCAGAAGUUGAUUCAAAGGUUAGCAAAGGCCCAUAUUGAUUGUUUCAGAGAAUAAUCAAUCAGAAAGUUAAGCAACGCAUCGCCAGAGCUGUGAGGAACAGACGAAGAAUUUCAAAAAGGCUUUAGGAUGAUAAAGACGCCUGGGCAGCUUUCUAAUGCUGUAUGCAAUGCCGUCCUGCAAACGUGUUUGGAUCUGCCUGCCGUCAAGACUCACCACUUCCCACCUGUACACUGCUGUCUGUCCUCAUUUCAAGUGAAUCACCUUGCGGUCUUCUUAUGCCAGCCUACGUGUGUUUUUAAAUCUAAAGUGGGUCUUUUGGGCCAGGCGCGGUGGCUCACGUCUGUAAUCCCAGCACUUUGGGAAGCCGAGGCAGGCAGAUCACCUGAGUUCAGGAGUUUGAGAACACCCUGGCCAACAUGGUGAAACCCGUCUCUACUAAGAAUAAAAAAUUAGCUGGGCAUGGUGGCGCAUGCCUGUAGUCCCAGCUACUCAGAAGGCCGAGACAGGAGAAUCGCUU